This is a long non-coding RNA of Alnus glutinosa, 249 nucleotides long. RefSeq lists it as uncharacterized. The record is from RefSeq and is a predicted model, not a curated record. Lineage: Eukaryota; Viridiplantae; Streptophyta; Magnoliopsida; Fagales; Betulaceae. The transcript is spliced from 2 exons.
AUGGCUGCCGCCCGCCAAGGGAUAAUGCAAAUGCAUGAUGAUCGGUAGAAGCUUCUAUUAUCGACAUUAAGGCCAAUAAUCAGCUAUGUCGUCGUGUUUAGAAGCUUGUUAUUAUAUAUCCACGUAAAUAAGGCCGAUUAUCAGGUGUGUUGUAAGGCCAAUAAUCAGACCCGCGUGUAUUUGUAACAUAGAAGCUUGUAUUAUCAACAAUAAGGCCUGUAAUCAGAUAUGUCGUGUUUAGAAGCUUAA